UAAAAUUCUCAGGGCGGGGUGUAAUUCCCCACCGGCGGUAUGUUCCCGGCACAGAUUUUUAACCGGGAAUGAGCCCGCGAGCGCCCGGUUAUCCGGGGUCAGCAGAUCUGGUGAAAAGCCAGAGCCGACGGUAAUAGUCCGGAUGAGAGAGAAUUAAA
This 158-nucleotide non-coding RNA is filed under the name Vibrio aerogenes. RNAcentral describes it as "FMN sequence". It matches the Rfam family "FMN riboswitch aptamer (RFN element)". From Rfam's summary of the family: The RFN element is a highly conserved domain that is found frequently in the 5'-untranslated regions of prokaryotic mRNAs that encode for flavin mononucleotide (FMN) biosynthesis and transport proteins. This element is a metabolite-dependent riboswitch that directly binds FMN in the absence of proteins. RNAcentral also lists the same sequence under 1 other name. The record is from RNAcentral. Lineage: Bacteria; Pseudomonadati; Pseudomonadota; Gammaproteobacteria; Vibrionales; Vibrionaceae.